Molecule: non-coding RNA, 98 nt
Organism: Burkholderia ambifaria MEX-5
Lineage: Bacteria; Pseudomonadati; Pseudomonadota; Betaproteobacteria; Burkholderiales; Burkholderiaceae
Source: Rfam
GGGGGACGGCCCCGCGAAGUCGGCUUGCAGGAGCAGGCUUCAAACCGCCACAAGCUGCGCGGGUAGGGUUGAGUCGCAAGCAACGCCAGACGUCAUGG